GACGAACGCUAGCGACGUGCCUAAGGUAUGCAAGUCGAGCGGACCCGCAAGGGUUAGCGGCGAACGGUUGAGUAACACGUAGACAACCUGCCUCGAAGUGGGGGACAACAGCGGGAAACUGCUGCUAAUACCGCAUGUGGCGGCCCGGAGCCUUCCGGGUUGGCUAAAGGAUUUAUUCGCUUCGAGAUGGGUCUGCGGCCUAUCAGCUUGUUGGUGGGGUAACGGCCUACCAAGGCGACGACGGGUAGCUGGUCUGAGAGGAUGAUCAGCCAGACGGGGACUGAGACACGGCCCCGACUCCUUCGGGAGGCAGCAAUGAGGAAUAUUGCGCAAUGGGCGAAAGCCUGACGCAGCGACGUCGCGUGGGUGAGGAAGUCCUUC
This 381-nucleotide ribosomal RNA is filed under the name uncultured bacterium. RNAcentral's name for it is "bacterial SSU rRNA". It matches the Rfam family "Bacterial small subunit ribosomal RNA", at positions 28 to 419 of the family's 1533-position model. The record is from RNAcentral.